UACGUAGGGGGCAAGCGUUAUCCGGAUUUACUGGGUGUAAAGGGAGCGCAGACGGCCAAGCAAGUCUGAAGUGAAAUGCAUGGGCUCAACCCAUGAAUUGCUUUGGAAACUGUUAGGCUUGAGUGUCGGAGAGGUAAGCGGAAUUCCUAGUGUAGCGGUGAAAUGCGUAGAUAUUAGGAGGAACACCGGAGGCGAAGGCGG
This 201-nucleotide ribosomal RNA is filed under the name uncultured Blautia sp. Its description in RNAcentral is "partial 16S ribosomal RNA". It matches the Rfam family "Bacterial small subunit ribosomal RNA", at positions 524 to 724 of the family's 1533-position model. Lineage: Bacteria; Bacillati; Bacillota; Clostridia; Lachnospirales; Lachnospiraceae. The record is from RNAcentral.